Molecule: long non-coding RNA, 2231 nt
Organism: Rhinichthys klamathensis goyatoka
Lineage: Eukaryota; Metazoa; Chordata; Actinopteri; Cypriniformes; Leuciscidae
Exons: 2
Source: RefSeq, a predicted model, not a curated record
AUAUGAGCACCGUUUGGAAAUGCAAAAAAGACCAAAUGUACAGAACCAGUGAUUGUAUUGCAGACGUGAUGCUGCUGAACGUGUGAAUUGGGAGUUUUAAAGCACUCAGCAUUGGGAUCGGAUCACAGAGACAGGGACUGGGAAGGUGAUGCACAGACUCAGAACUGCCUUUCAUGAGACCAUCGCACCGUUUCCAUUUGAAACAGCAGUAUUGACAUAUACUCGUGUCACCAAAACAAGUGUUGUGCGUGUGUGUGUGUGUGUGUGUGUGUGCGCACGUACAUACUGGAGGGUAAGGUUACAAAAUGUCCCUCUUUAGUGUGUGUGUUUGUGUGUGUGUGUUCAUUAUAUUACUGGAUUGUUUUGUUGCUAGGAUGUGAAACCUGUUGAUUUCUCUACAAUGCAACAAAGCCCAUCAUAAUGAACGGGUCAGGACAGUAGCCAAUCAUGUCGCUACAGUCUACAGUACAUACAUGUCCUGAGUACCCUAAUUGUUAGCCUGUGAACUUUGAAAAUAGACUAAUCAUCUACUGCAUGGUUAUGCCUAUGAUAUUCUCAUGUAUUAUUAGAAUAUGAGAAACAGUUAUGUGCAAUAUUCUCUCUCUCUCUUUGUGUGUGUGUGUGUGUGUGUGUGUGUGUGUGUGUUGGUCUAUCGUUGAUUUUUUUUCUCCCCCCUCUCCAUUUCACCUUCUGAUUCAAUGUCUCUGAUUUCCACUGUUUCUUACAGUCGGUCUGUUUUGUUUUCUUAUUGGUAGGUUGUCAGGUCAUGUGAUUUACAGCACAGGUCCUUUAUUUCAGCUGCUCCAGACUCUGUCUUUCAUGUACUCUCGUUAGACAAGAGACCAAAUAUUAAGCUCCUGUGGCAAAAACAAAAAGUUAAAUGCAUACAAAUGAUCUUCCAUUCUAAACAUUGCACAACCUUAGACUUUCUCACAACCUGUGAUGCAAAAUUUAAGUUUUUUUUUUUUUUUUUUUUUAUCCAAUCAGUUCAUUUCAUAAUAAACAGAAUAAAUAAUGACCACAUUUAUAAUAAAUGCAACAUAUUAAACAUUUCAUUGCAAGUUUAUAUAUGUUUUUGUUUUAGAUAUUUUUUCUUCUCACCAUGAAAUCAAAAUUGACAAUUCUUAUUUUGUAUGGAAUUUAGCAGAAUAUUAUUUAUUAUAAAUUAUUUAUCCACGCACAUCAUUAUUUUAAAAUUCAUGUUCCCUCAUAAACUUGAAUCAAAAGAACUUCCCCUCCCUCUUGCAGACAUCUCUUCUCUUCUCUGAUGACAUGUUUACUGGCAUGAGGGCGGGACAAUGAGCCGGUCCUGGUCUUAAUGAGCACCAUUUAUCUGUAAUUCGAAGUAAUAAAAAAAAAAAAAAACUUCUGAAACAUCUUUUUUAUUUAUUUAUUUGCCCUUCAAGUCUUUAACCCCUUGCAUCCAAACACCUUCAUUUUACUGUGAACACUCACUUUUCACAGUCCAAUCAAUUCCUGUUGCAUAAUAUUUAUUUCCUGUCCUACAUUUAUUCUCAUAUAUAAGAUCACCAAAAAAAAAAAGGCUUGUGAACAGCGUUUCAUGUUGACUUUGAGGCUUUCACUUUUUUACUGCAUAUUUUACAGGUUAUUUUGAUUUAUUUAUUUUUUUUAUUUUUUUGCAUUUCUGGUUUUUACUUUUCAUUGGCCUGGUUGUUUUCUCGAAGCAUGUUCGGCCUUAUUUGUGCCCUUCUGAACCGGCAUCUAAAGGCCUCGACGGAGCAAAACUCACGGAAACUCACACAGCUGCACCUGCCAAAUACCUGUGCCCUGAUGAGCAAUUUACAAUGUUAUUUUGGACUUCAUGAGUGACAUGUUUAUUUUUUUCUUUUUACUGUUUUUGAAAUGACUAUAGGAAACACAUUGACAUGUUUAAGCAAAAUAGAUGAAAAAGUACCUCUUUGGUUAAACGUGAAUCUGUGUAUCACAAAGUAAUACAUAUUUGUAUAUACAGAGGUACAGUGCAUUUUAAUAUAAAUUAUACAAGUGUUUUAUGUCACUGUAAGUAUCAUAAAUGUGUAUGUAUUUCUUUUUUGUAUUGUAUUUUGCAGCUUCAUAUGUACAGUAUGUCAUAAGACGUGUUUUUUUGGUUUUGUUUUUUUACAUCUUUACCAUUAGUCACUGUCAUGUCGUUAUUUGCAUUUUACUAUGUGCCAAAUGUACUGUUCUCAAAGGAUGUGAAUGUCCAUUGUUUGGUUUGUAACCUAUUAAAU